UAGGCUUCUUGGAGACUCCUAGGUCUA
Molecule: non-coding RNA, 27 nt
Filed under: Drosophila melanogaster (fruit fly)
Lineage: Eukaryota; Metazoa; Arthropoda; Insecta; Diptera; Drosophilidae
Source: RNAcentral